RNAcentral lists this ribosomal RNA (253 nucleotides) under uncultured bacterium. Its description in RNAcentral is "partial 16S ribosomal RNA". It matches the Rfam family "Bacterial small subunit ribosomal RNA", at positions 524 to 776 of the family's 1533-position model. The record is from RNAcentral.
UACGUAGGCAGCAAGCGUUGUUCGGAGUUACUGGGCGUAAAGGGCGCGUAGGCGGCGACCCAAGUCAGAUGUGAAAGUCCUGGGCUUAACCUGGGGACUGCAUUUGAUACUGGGUUGCUUGAAUUCGGGAGAGGAUAGCGGAAUUCCCAGUGUAGAGGUGAAAUUCGUAGAUAUUGGGAAGAACACCGGUGGCGAAGGCGGCUAUCUGGACCGACAUUGACGCUGAGGCGCGAAAGCGUGGGGAGCAAACAGG